RNAcentral lists this ribosomal RNA (428 nucleotides) under uncultured prokaryote. RNAcentral describes it as "bacterial SSU rRNA". It matches the Rfam family "Bacterial small subunit ribosomal RNA", at positions 355 to 774 of the family's 1533-position model. The record is from RNAcentral.
UGGGGAAUCUUCCGCAAUGGACGAAAGUCUGACGGAGCAACGCCGCGUGAGUGAAGAAGGUUUUCGGAUCGUAAAACUCUGUUUUCAGGGACGAAUGUGCAGCUUGUAAAUAAUGAGUUGUAAUGACGGUACCUGAGUAGAAAGCCACGGCUAACUACGUGCCAGCAGCCGCGGUAAUACGUAGGUGGCAAGCGUUGUCCGGAAUUAUUGGGCGUAAAGCGCGCGCAGGUGGGAUAUUAAGUCUGGUGUUAAAGUUCGGGGCUCAACCCCGUGAAGCAUUUGGAAACUGAUAUUCUUGAGUGCAGGAGAGGAAAGUGGAAUUCCUAGUGUAGCGGUGAAAUGCGUAGAUAUUAGGAGGAACACCAGUGGCGAAGGCGACUUUCUGGACUGUGUCUGACACUGAGGCGCGAAAGCCAGGGUAGUGAACG